AUUGAACGCUGGCGGCAGGCUUAACACAUGCAAGUCGAGCGAGCGGCGGACGGGUGAGUAAUGUCUGGGAAACUGCCUGAUGGAGGGGGAUCACUACUGGAAACGGUAGCUAAUACCGCAUACCAUCAGAUGUGCCCAGAUGGGCUUAGCUAGUUGGUGGGGUAAUGGCUCCACUAGGCGACGAUCCCUAGCUGGUCUGGAAGGAGGACCAGCCACAGUGGAACUGAGACACGGUCCAGACGCCUACGGGAGGCAGCAGUGGGUAAAAUUGCAAAAUGGGCGCAAGCCUGAUGCGACCAUGCCGCGUGUGUGAAGAAGGCCUUCGGGGUGUAAAGCACUUUCAGCGAGGAGGAGUUACUCGCAGAAGAAGCACCGGCUAACUCCGUGCCAGCAGCCGCGGUAAUAC
RNAcentral lists this ribosomal RNA (406 nucleotides) under uncultured bacterium. RNAcentral describes it as "partial 16S ribosomal RNA". It matches the Rfam family "Bacterial small subunit ribosomal RNA", at positions 30 to 526 of the family's 1533-position model. The record is from RNAcentral.